AUUGAACGCUGGCGGCAUGCCUUACACAUGCAAGUCGAACGGCAGCACGGGAGCAAUCCUGGUGGCGAGUGGCGAACGGGUGAGUAAUAUAUCGGAACGUGCCCAGUCGUGGGGAUAACGUAGCGAAAGCUACGCUAAUACCGCAUACUAUCUAUGGAUGAAAGCGGGGGAUCGCAAGACCUCGCGCGAUUGGAGCGGCCGAUAUCAGAUUAGGUAGUUGGUGAGGUAAAGGCUCACCAAGCCGACGAUCUGUAGCUGGUCUGAGAGGACGACCAGCCACACUGGGACUGAGACACGGCCCAGACUCCUACGGGAGGCAGCAGUGGGGAAUUUUGGACAAUGGGCGCAAGCCUGAUCCAGCAAUGCCGCGUGCAGGAUGAAGGCCUUCGGUUGUAAC
This 397-nucleotide ribosomal RNA is filed under the name uncultured bacterium. RNAcentral describes it as "bacterial SSU rRNA". It matches the Rfam family "Bacterial small subunit ribosomal RNA", at positions 30 to 429 of the family's 1533-position model. The record is from RNAcentral.